UCCUGAUGAUCCUCUUCCUGAGUGGCUCCAGUGAUGAGCAAAACUGAGCCUCUAAAAAGUUGACUGAA
Erinaceus europaeus (western European hedgehog) is the source of this 68-nucleotide non-coding RNA. The record is from Rfam. Lineage: Eukaryota; Metazoa; Chordata; Mammalia; Eulipotyphla; Erinaceidae.